This 884-nucleotide ribosomal RNA is filed under the name Mortierella indohii. Its description in RNAcentral is "eukaryotic LSU rRNA". The stretch from base 169 to 322 matches the Rfam family "5.8S ribosomal RNA". Lineage: Eukaryota; Fungi; Mortierellomycota; Mortierellomycetes; Mortierellales; Mortierellaceae. The record is from RNAcentral.
UUCGGAACGAUUGAGUGUGUUAUGGGCUCUCUUUAAAAAUCCCAUCCCCUUGGGGGGACGGUUUUUAAAUCCCCGGGAUUAAAAAACCCAAAAGGGUUGAAUUACUUUACCCCCUUUAAGGAGUUUGGCUGAAUUUUCUUUUCUGAAUAAACCUUAUUUCAAAAAUCCACUUUUCACCACCGGAUCUCUGGGUUCUCGCUUCGAGAAAAAACGCACCGAAUGGCGAUCCGUAUGGGAAUUGGCAAAUUCCAUGGAAUCAUCAAAUCUUUGAACGCCCUUUGCGCUCUCGGGAUUUCCGAAAAGCUGGCUGGUUUGAUUAUCAUAAAACCCCUCAUUUUCUGGAUUCUUAUUUUUGAAUUGGGACUUGACCAAACCCCACCGUACUUUUAACUGUGGGGAGGGUGGCUUCAAUGGCAGGGGCACCGAAUCAUUCUUCUGGGCUAAAAGCAUUAUCUAGUUAUCCCCGAAAAACGAAUUAUUCACUUUUAUGGCUGCAGCUUUACCCUAUAUAAAAGGAAGACAUGGGCCAUUGUGCUGACUGAUGCAGGAAUUCUCAGAGGUCUGUAAAGACUUUUGAAAACUCGAUCUCAAAUCAAGUAAGACUACCCGCUGAACUUAAGCAUAUCAAUAGCCGGAGGAAAGAAGGAUCAUUCAUAAUUGAGUGUUUUAUGGCACUCUUUAAAAAAAUCAUAUCCACCUUGUGUGCAACGUUUUUGAACUCUCUGGCAUUAAAAAGCCAAGAGGGUUUGAUUAACUUAACACUUUAAAGCAGUUUGUCUGAAUAUCUAUUUCUGAAUAAACUAAUUCAAAAUAAACUUUCACAACGGAUCUCUUGGCUCUGCAUCCAUAAAAACGCGCUAAAUGCCAUACGUAUGGGAAUUGUC